GUUGUAUGGUUAAGUGACUAAGCGUACACGGUGGAUGCCUUGGCAGUCAGAGGCGAUGAAGGACGUAGUAACUUGCGAUAAGCGUAGAUGAGGCAGUAACAGCCACUUGAGUCUACGAUUUCCGAAUGGGGAAACCCACUGGCAUAAGCCAGUAUCAUUGAGUGAAUACAUAGCUCAAUGAAGCGAACCGGGAGAACUGAAACAUCUAAGUACCCCGAGGAAAAGAAAUCAACCGAGAUUCCGAAAGUAGCGGCGAGCGAAAUUGGAUUAGCCCUUAAGCUUUACAUGUGUUAGACGAACGGUCUGGAAAGUCCGACGAUACAGGGUGAUAGUCCCGUAGUUGUAGAUGCAUGUUCAGUGAAAUCGAGUAGGGCGGGACACGUGUUAUCCUGUCUGAAUAUGGGGGGACCAUCCUCCAAGGCUAAAUACUCCUGACUGACCGAUAGUGAACCAGUACCGUGAGGGAAAGGCGAAAAGAACCCCUGUGAGGGGAGUGAAAUAGAACCUGAAACCGUGUACGUACAAGCAGUAGGAGCACCUUCGUGGUGUGACUGCGUACCUUUUGUAUAAUGGGUCAGCGACUUAUAUUCAGUGGCAAGGUUAACCAUCUAGGGGAGCCGUAGGGAAACCGAGUCUUAACUGGGCGCCAUAGUCUCUGGAUAUAGACCCGAAACCGAGUGAUCUAGCCAUGGGCAGGUUGAAGGUUGAGUAACAUCAACUGGAGGACCGAACCGACUAAUGUUGAAAAAUUAGCGGAUGACUUGUGGCUAGGGGUGAAAGGCCAAUCAAACUCGGAGAUAGCUGGUUCUCCCCGAAAGCUAUUUAGGUAGCGCCUCGGACGAAUACUACUGGGGGUAGAGCACUGUUAAGGCUAGGGGGUCAUCCCGACUUACCAACCCUUUGCAAACUCCGAAUACCAGUAAGUACUAUCCGGGAGACACACGGCGGGUGCUAACGUCCGUCGUGGAGAGGGAAACAACCCAGACCGCCAGCUAAGGUCCCAAAUUACAGCUAAGUGGGAAACGAUGUGGGAAGGCUUAGACAGCUAGGAUGUUGGCUUAGAAGCAGCCAUCAUUUAAAGAAAGCGUAAUAGCUCACUAGUCGAGUCGGCCUGCGCGGAAGAUGUAACGGGGCUAAGUUGUAAACCGAAGCUGCGGCAAUGUUCUAUGAACAUUGGGUAGGGGAGCGUUCUGUAAGCCGUUGAAGGUGUGUUGUAAAGCAUGCUGGAGGUAUCAGAAGUGCGAAUGCUGACAUGAGUAACGACAAGGGGGGUGAAAAACCUCCCCGCCGGAAGACCAAGGGUUCCUGUCCAACGUUAAUCGGGGCAGGGUAAGUCGACCCCUAAGGCGAGGCUGAAAAGCGUAGUCGAUGGGAAACGGGUUAAUAUUCCCGUACUUCUUACAAUUGCGAUGGGGGGACGGAGAAGGCUAGGUGGGCCUGGCGACGGUUGUCCAGGUUCAAGUGCGUAGGCUGAGUGUUUAGGUAAAUCCGGAUACUCUUAAGGCUGAGACACGACGUCGAGCUACUACGGUAGUGAAGUCAUUGAUGCCAUGCUUCCAGGAAAAGCCUCUAAGCUUCAGAUUGUAAGGAAUCGUACCCCAAACCGACACAGGUGGUCGGGUAGAGAAUACCAAGGCGCUUGAGAGAACUCGGGUGAAGGAACUAGGCAAAAUGGUACCGUAACUUCGGGAGAAGGUACGCUCUUGAUGGUGAAGUCCCUUGCGGAUGGAGCUGACGAGAGUCGCAGAUACCAGGUGGCUGCAACUGUUUAUUAAAAACACAGCACUGUGCAAAAUCGUAAGAUGACGUAUACGGUGUGACGCCUGCCCGGUGCCGGAAGGUUAAUUGAUGGGGUUAGCGUAAGCGAAGCUCUUGAUCGAAGCCCCGGUAAACGGCGGCCGUAACUAUAACGGUCCUAAGGUAGCGAAAUUCCUUGUCGGGUAAGUUCCGACCUGCACGAAUGGCGUAAUGAUGGCCACGCUGUCUCCACCCGAGACUCAGUGAAAUUGAAAUCGCUGUGAAGAUGCAGUGUACCCGCGGCUAGACGGAAAGACCCCGUGAACCUUUACUACAGCUUGGCACUGAACAUUGAACCUACAUGUGUAGGAU
RNAcentral lists this ribosomal RNA (2109 nucleotides) under Vibrio vulnificus. Its description in RNAcentral is "partial 23S ribosomal RNA". It matches the Rfam family "Bacterial large subunit ribosomal RNA", at positions 1 to 2144 of the family's 2925-position model. Lineage: Bacteria; Pseudomonadati; Pseudomonadota; Gammaproteobacteria; Vibrionales; Vibrionaceae. The record is from RNAcentral.